ACGGCUCAGUAACACGUCGAUAAUCUGCCCUAUGGUCUGGGAUAACCUCGGGAAACUGAGGGUAACACCGGAUAGAAGAUUGAUACUGGAAAGUUCUUUCUUUGAAAGGUUACGCCAUAGGAUGAGUCGGCGGCUGAUUAGGCUGUUGGUGAGGUAACGGCUCACCAAACCAAAGAUCAGUAGGGGGUAUGAGAGUACUGUCCUCGAGAAGGGCACUGAGACAAGGGCCCUAGCCCUAAGGGGUGCAGCAGUUACGAAAACUUUACAAUGCGCGAAAGCGUGAUAGGGGAAUUCCGAGUGCUUACUUUACAGUAGGCUUUUGUUAAGUGUAAGGAGCUUGACGAAUAAGUGGUGGGUAUACUGGUGCCAGCCGCCGCGGUAACACCAGAGCCACAAGUGGGGACCAUUUUUAUUGGGUCUAAAGCGUCCGUAGCCGGUUCAGACAGUCCUUUGUGAAAUUGUUAGGCUCAACCUAGCAGCGUGCAAGGGAAACUACUGAACUUGGGACCGGGAGACGAUAAGAGUAUGCCAGGGGGAGCGGUAAAAUGUUUUAAUCCUUGGUAGACUUCCGAUAGCGAAGGCACUUAUCGAGAACGGGUCCGACGGUCAGGGACGAAGGCUGGGGGAGCAAAACGGAUUAGAUACCCGUGUAGUCCCAGCAGUAAACGCUGCCCAUUAUGUGUUGCGUACCUCACGAGGGUAUGCAGUGCCGUAGCGAAGGCGUUAAAUGGGCCACCUGGGUAGUACGGUCGCAAGACUGAAACUUUAAGGAAUUGGCGGGGGAGCAC
Molecule: ribosomal RNA, 788 nt
Filed under: uncultured archaeon
Lineage: Archaea
Description: bacterial SSU rRNA
Rfam family: Archaeal small subunit ribosomal RNA
Source: RNAcentral